RNAcentral lists this ribosomal RNA (247 nucleotides) under uncultured bacterium. RNAcentral's name for it is "partial 16S ribosomal RNA". It matches the Rfam family "Bacterial small subunit ribosomal RNA", at positions 523 to 769 of the family's 1533-position model. The record is from RNAcentral.
AUACGGAGGGUGCGAGCGUUGUUCGGAAUUAUUGGGCGUAAGGCGCGUGUAGGCGGUCUUUUAAGUCUGAUGUGAAAGCCCUGGGCUCAACCUGGGAAGUGCAUUGGAUACUGGCAGACUUGAGUACGGGAGAGGGUAGUGGAAUUCCUAGUGUAGGAGUGAAAUCCGUAGAUAUUAGGAGGAACACCGGUGGCGAAGGCGGCUACCUGGACCGAUAUUGACGCUGAGACGCGAAAGCGUGGGGAGC